UUACGGCCAUAUAAUGUUGAAACACCGGUUCUCGCACGAUCACCGAAGUGACGCAACGUUCAGGCAGGUCAAUACCUAGAUAUGUGACCACUUGGGAAUACUAGGUGCUGUAA
Non-coding RNA from Acanthosepion pharaonis, 113 nucleotides. The record is from the annotation of a GenBank genome assembly. NCBI's taxonomy places the organism in Eukaryota, Metazoa, Mollusca, Cephalopoda, Sepiida, Sepiidae.